This 445-nucleotide long non-coding RNA is filed under the name Gallus gallus (chicken). RNAcentral describes it as "long non-coding RNA NONGGAT003682". The record is from RNAcentral. Lineage: Eukaryota; Metazoa; Chordata; Aves; Galliformes; Phasianidae.
CUUACAGCCCACCCAGCUCCAACCCCAGUGCCAUGGGCACAGUUGCCACUCACUGCAUCAGGUUGCCCAGUGCCCCACACAACCUGGUCUUGAGAAGAGUUGGGGGACUUCUUAAUGAGAGCUACGAGGAUUAAACAAAAACAAUUACUCCAGAAGGACUGAGAUUUCUCUUUAUCGAGUAAACACAUAGAAGUCAACAACAGAUGGAGCAUCACAUGGAGUUACGCAGACAGGUGUUGACUAGCUGGUGGUGUUCCAAGAAAGGACGGUCCCAUCUGGUCAUGGGGAGAGCUGUGAUGGUGCGAAAAGAAGAGAGUGAUCACCAUGGACAAAGAGCAUCCCAUGAACUCAUGUCAGAGAAGAGUUUUUGUCUUGGAGGUGGAGGGCUCAGUCGAUGGGAAAAGUAGGGCUACUUCUACGUGGGGUGUGGAUGGAGAAGUUUGAG